Molecule: ribosomal RNA, 680 nt
Filed under: uncultured bacterium
Lineage: Bacteria
Description: bacterial SSU rRNA
Rfam family: Bacterial small subunit ribosomal RNA
Source: RNAcentral
UGGACAACGUACCCUGGACACGGGGAUAGCGGCGGGCCGCAAGGCCCUUUAGCGAAAGUGCCGGUAAUACCCGAUGAUCCCGCGAGGUCGCAUGAUUUCGCGGGCAAAUGCUCCGACGGUCUGGGAUCGGUUCAUGUCCUAUCAGCUAGUUGGUGAGGUAACGGCUCACCAAGGCAACAACGGGUACCGGGCGUGAGAGCGUGACCCGGCACAUCGGAACUGAGAUACGGUCCGGACACCUACGGGUGGCUGCAGCAACGAAUAUUCCGCAAUGGACGCAAGUCUGACGGAGCGACGCCGCGUGUGGGAUGAAGUCCUUCGGGAUGUAAACCACUGUCAGGGGUGAGGAAGAAAGUGACCAACCCCAGAGGAAGCAUCGGCUAACUCCGUGCCAGCAGCCGCGGUAAUACGGAGGAUGCAAGCGUUGUUCGGAAUCACUGGGCUUAAAGCGCGUGUAGGCGGAGUGUCAGGUGUUGGGUGAAAUCCCCGGUCUCAACCCGGGAACUGCCUGGCAAACCGGCAUUCUUGAGGCAGGUAGAGGUGGCUGGAACGACUGGUGGAGCGGUGAAAUGCGUAGAUAUCAGUUGGAACGCCUGUGGCGAAAGCAAGUCACUGGGCCUGUCCUGACGCUGAGACGCGAAAGCGUGGGGAGCAAACAGGAUUAGAUACCCUGGUAGUCC